CUCAUCUCCCCACAUCCCUGUUCCGUAGCCAAUGUUUCCUUUGCUGUCCCCCUGCCCCAACUCAGUUAAUAACUGUGCCAGUGUCUGUCUGAGGGACUAUGGGAAGGGAAGAGACUUGUUGAGGGUUUUUUUUUGUGCCAAACUGACAAGCUGUGAUUGCGCACAGCGAGGCUGCGGUUGUACCUUGUUUUCAAGCACCUUUACUGAAGGGGCUUGUGAAGGGGAGAGGGCUCCUAGACCACAACAGCACAGAAAUAUUGGACUGUGCCCAGUGCUCUCUCCUCAGUCGGAUUUUGCUGUAGUACAAUGAGAGAAAAGGGCUGCUGUGGGUCUGUGCUGCAGCUGCUGGUGUGCAGGUGAGAUGGUGGUGGUAUUGUCACUGCUGUGGAUGUGUCACAGCCCUCAAAUCCAUUCCUUGCUGCUUUGUCCUUUUUUUUUUUUAAUUUAUUUCUUGAUCUUAUUUAUUAAGCUUAUUUAUUGUUUGAAUAUUGUAUUAUUUGUAUAAAGUAUGCUGACUGGUUGCACCAAGGAGACAGGAGGCAGUGCCUUUGGGCCUCCCUUACUGUCCACGUCCCAUGUUGAUGUUCUUACACUCACCGUGUCUCUGUAUAUAAUAAAGUGUGAGCGUGGGCUGGAAAUAA
Neopsephotus bourkii (Bourke's parrot) is the source of this 641-nucleotide long non-coding RNA. RefSeq lists it as uncharacterized. The transcript has 2 exons. The record is from RefSeq and is a predicted model, not a curated record. Lineage: Eukaryota; Metazoa; Chordata; Aves; Psittaciformes; Psittacidae.